Lutra lutra (Eurasian river otter) is the source of this 945-nucleotide long non-coding RNA. RefSeq lists it as uncharacterized. The transcript has 2 exons. The record is from RefSeq and is a predicted model, not a curated record. Lineage: Eukaryota; Metazoa; Chordata; Mammalia; Carnivora; Mustelidae.
GGACAGAUCCUUUUUCCUAACUUAGAGAAAGAUUGGUCUGACUCCCAAGAACAUGCAAUCACCCGUGCUGAGUCCAUCAGCCCUGGAGCAACUCUUCCAAAAUAGACUGGGAUCUGCAGGUGUUGCUGGAAGAGGGAUGGGCACUGACAUGGUGAUUAAACCAAGCGUGAAGAUCUUAGAAGGGCUGAAAAUUCCAACAGACCUCAGUUUGAUUCCUGGCUCCACUGGGGGCAGGCUCAUGAUCAUCUCUAAUUUUUGCUCUCUUCUGUAAAGUCAAGAUCAUACUACUAAUCCCAUUGGGCUUGGGGGAGGAUUCAAUAACAUUUAAGGAGCACACUUCUUCCAGAUGGGAACUAUUAAAUGUAAAAGCCUUUUCUUCCGGCUCGCCCUACUCACCUUCAUCCUGCCUUCUGGCUGUUCCCGUGCUUGGAGCAAGUGCUUCUCAAACUUUUGGGAGAUGAGGACCAGGUAAAGGUCACCCGUUGGCAGACUGCCCUUUUAGGAGUACUGGUUAAGGGUAAGCUGCAAUGUGAGAAGACAGACUUGAAUAAAAUGUAUGAGAGAGUAUUGUCAGCUCUGAAGCUUAAUAACAGGUAGCUCUGGGUGGUGGUGUUGCCUCUUCGUGGACACCAGUAUUGCUCCCACAUGAUCUUAAAGAUGAACUCAAACCCCACCUUCUCUGUGCUGUCUUCUUACACUCCCUCAAGCGCUGUGUUGUUCUUCCCUGUGCCUCGCAUGGUAUCAGAAGGUCUACGUUGCUACUCCCAUGCAUAGUCUACUCCCAUGAAUGGGAGUCUCUCUUCCUCAGCUGCCACGAUUUUUAUUCUCUUUCUGUGGAUAGAAGCAAAUGGAUGGGUCAGUAUGAGCCUGUCUAGAGAUUUCUGUUGAUAGAUCCUUUAAGAAGGAAAAAAUAGAAGUGGAUGGAACUAGAGGGUAUUAUGCUCA